GGAGGUUGGCGGCAGACGUGUCUCUCGCCAACCGGGUCAGAUCCGGAAGGAAGCAGCCCUAACGAGUUCGGCGCGGGUUGCGUGUCCAGCCUCCCAC
Molecule: signal recognition particle RNA, 97 nt
Filed under: Hyphomicrobiaceae bacterium
Lineage: Bacteria; Pseudomonadati; Pseudomonadota; Alphaproteobacteria; Hyphomicrobiales; Hyphomicrobiaceae
Description: signal recognition particle sRNA small type
Rfam family: Bacterial small signal recognition particle RNA
About the family: The signal recognition particle (SRP) is a universally conserved ribonucleoprotein involved in the co-translational targeting of proteins to membranes. Archaeal SRP consists of a 7S RNA and homologues of the eukaryotic SRP19 and SRP54 proteins.
Source: RNAcentral